This 1198-nucleotide ribosomal RNA is filed under the name Janibacter terrae. Its description in RNAcentral is "bacterial SSU rRNA". It matches the Rfam family "Bacterial small subunit ribosomal RNA", at positions 288 to 1496 of the family's 1533-position model. The record is from RNAcentral. Lineage: Bacteria; Bacillati; Actinomycetota; Actinomycetes; Micrococcales; Intrasporangiaceae.
CGGCCUGAGAGGGCGACCGGCCACACUGGGACUGAGACACGGCCCAGACUCCUACGGGAGGCAGCAGUGGGGAAUAUUGCACAAUGGGCGAAAGCCUGAUGCAGCGACGCCGCGUGAGGGAUGACGGCCUUCGGGUUGUAAACCUCUUUCAGCAGGGAAGAAGCGAAAGUGACGGUACCUGCAGAAGAAGCACCGGCUAACUACGUGCCAGCAGCCGCGGUAAUACGUAGGGUGCGAGCGUUGUCCGGAAUUAUUGGGCGUAAAGAGCUUGUAGGCGGUUUGUCGCGUCUGCUGUGAAAAUCCGGGGCUCAACCCCGGACUUGCAGUGGGUACGGGCAGACUAGAGUGUGGUAGGGGAGACUGGAAUUCCUGGUGUAGCGGUGAAAUGCGCAGAUAUCAGGAGGAACACCGAUGGCGAAGGCAGGUCUCUGGGCCACUACUGACGCUGAGAAGCGAAAGCAUGGGGAGCGAACAGGAUUAGAUACCCUGGUAGUCCAUGCCGUAAACGUUGGGCGCUAGGUGUGGGACUCAUUCCACGAGUUCCGUGCCGCAGCUAACGCAUUAAGCGCCCCGCCUGGGGAGUACGGCCGCAAGGCUAAAACUCAAAGGAAUUGACGGGGGCCCGCACAAGCGGCGGAGCAUGCGGAUUAAUUCGAUGCAACGCGAAGAACCUUACCAAGGCUUGACAUAUACCGGAAACUUCCAGAGAUGGUUGCCCCCUUUGGGUCGGUAUACAGGUGGUGCAUGGUUGUCGUCAGCUCGUGUCGUGAGAUGUUGGGUUAAGUCCCGCAACGAGCGCAACCCUCGUUCUAUGUUGCCAGCACGUUAUGGUGGGGACUCAUGGAAGACUGCCGGGGUCAACUCGGAGGAAGGUGGGGAUGACGUCAAAUCAUCAUGCCCCUUAUGUCUUGGGCUUCACGCAUGCUACAAUGGCCGGUACAAAGGGCUGCGAUGCCGUAAGGUGGAGCGAAUCCCAUAAAACCGGUCUCAGUUCGGAUUGGGGUCUGCAACUCGACCCCAUGAAGUCGGAGUCGCUAGUAAUCGCAGAUCAGCAACGCUGCGGUGAAUACGUUCCCGGGCCUUGUACACACCGCCCGUCAAGUCACGAAAGUCGGUAACACCCGAAGCCGGUGGCCCAACCCUUGUGGGGGGAGCCGUCGAAGGUGGGACUGGCGAUUGGGACUAAGUCGUAACAGGG